UGUGUAGUGUUUUUGCGAAUCAUGCAAGGCUAAAUGCUCUCUCUCCUUCUCUUUAAAUUCCUGUACGGUAUUAGGAAUCUUAAAAUGAUAAGAUAACACCUUAUCCUGGUAAUGAGGCUAUAAGGCCUUAUGUUCAGAAUAAGAAUUUAGCUUGAUACUAAGAGCCGGUCCUGACAAGUAAGAAUUUAGCUAGAUGCUAAAAGUCGGUCCUAAUAGACAAGAAUUUAGCUGAAUGCUAAAAAUCUGUCCCGACAAGGUAAGUCCUAUGAAGGCACCAUAGGGGACUGAAUACUUGCAUUCGCUAAGUUAUGUGUCUCGUAAGAGGCACCAAAGGGAUUGAAUGCCUGCAUUUGUUGAGUUUUGAUAGUCCUACAAGGGGCACCAAGGGGACUGAAUACCUGCAUUUGCCGAGUUAUGUUUUGAGCAUAGAUCAUUGAAGCGUCUGUAGUUGAUAUAAUCAACACUCAGAGCCUUGGUUUUGCACAUUAAACAGAAGGACAGGGCUUUUUCCAAGAAGCAGUGAAUAGUGAGAAGAGAAAAUGGCUGGAGGUGGAGGAGCAACAAAAUCAAAUGAGCAGCGCCACACUCACCAGAAGAUCAGGUGUCCAACAGAGGAAGCAAGCUAACAAUUGGGAGAGGUGGAAUGUUGAAAGUUCAGCACUUGGUUUCAGUUGCAAGAUCUUCUGCUAUGCACCAACACAACACAUCUGGUUAUCUGCAAUCCAAUCGAAUUGCUUAUGUUGAGUUCUUUGUGAAACCGGAGGUUGAUGGUGAUGAUACAUAAGCUUCUGUGACUGUAUCAAAACCAGAGGAAGAACACCAAUGGUUCAUACGCCUUUCCAAAGCAAAUUUAGUUCAGGUUACAUCAGUAUCAAAACUAGAGGAAGAAUAACAAUGGUUUUCAGCAACAUGUUUGACUUUACUCUGUUAUUUGCGGUUCCAAAAAAAAAAACUCGAAACUUGACCCGGCCCGACCCAAGGACUUGGGUUAUAUGCAGUCUUCCGUUUCGGUUCGGUAUCAUGUAAACCCGAACAGAACUGAACUGUUGACAUCCCUAGCAUCAAUCCAUGUUGUUCACAUUACA
Molecule: long non-coding RNA, 1085 nt
Organism: Syzygium oleosum
Lineage: Eukaryota; Viridiplantae; Streptophyta; Magnoliopsida; Myrtales; Myrtaceae
Exons: 2
Source: RefSeq, a predicted model, not a curated record